AUAAUAUACUGAACAAAUGCCUGUGACACAACAUUUAAAAACCUGUCCCUGAGAAAACAGCACCUGUGAUUCUUUUUCUUUAUAGAGCCCUGUACAGACGGUGCACAGACAAUGCAAUAUCAUGCUUUUGGCCACUUCUUUGUCCCCUCUUUGCAGUGCUGCAGUGUUUGUGCCUAACAGCUUGAUACAGGCCCCCACAGCAGUACCCAGGACCGGGGGUGGUGUUGCAGUUUCCAAGAAAGCGCAUUGCCCAUGUGCCUCCUUUUCUGCCUGGAAGCAGCAGUGAGUGCACCCCAGCAGUCUCCAGAGAGAAAACUGGAAUCAGGAGAGAGGAACAAAUAAGAAAACAGCGAGGGCCGGGAGGUCCAAAGGGCAGCAAGCACAGCCCGAGUGCCCUAUGCUCGGAGGCAGGCGGAGGGGGAGAUCCCCACCCGGUAUCAUCAGGAACAGACAAAAAACAAACAGCUGUGCUCAGACAGAAACGGAUGACCAUGCUGUAAAAGCAAGAGCAUGUGCUAGCUCCUCUUCAGAUCUGGGACCAGCUCUGCUGCUUUCUCUUGGGCCAGGAGGGGUGAGGCAUGGAGACACCAUUUGCGUCCUCAGACCUCAGUGAUGAAUCCAGCAGUGGGUAGGAAAAUAUUAGCAACCACAUUUGUUUAUUUUUUCAUUUGAGACAAGGUGCAGCUAUGGAUUGCAUUGCGUGAAGGCUGCCUUGAAGGUCUCCAGUUCCCAUUUUUUGUCGCAGUGUCCACUCAUUUGCUCCUCAAUCUUCCUGUCCCCAUUGUCAAGGUGUUUGUCAUGCCUGUGGCUACAGCAGCUUAGAUUCAUUCUGACAGGCACUUUCCUUAUUUGUUUUGACAAGGAGUAUUUAUUCUGAUUUGUGCUAUGCUGGUGUUUAGAUCUGCUCAAGAUCUCUCUUCUAGAGCAGGUCAGAAAGCAUAUUUCACGUGCCAUGAGAAAAUGUCAAGAUUUAGAUGCAUUUAUUAUAAACUGGGCAGAAAAAGGCAAAUAUUUGUUUGUUUGUUUGUUUCUACUUAACUGGUGUCCCAGGGCAACAGGCUCUGUUUUGAUAUUUUUCUCUUUUCUUUCUUUUGGCUUUUUCUUUCAAUAAGGUAAACAUUACUGUGAAUAAAAUUCUCAGUAAAAGAUAACUUCA
This 1156-nucleotide long non-coding RNA is filed under the name Anas platyrhynchos platyrhynchos (common mallard). Its description in RNAcentral is "lncRNA (ENSAPLG00000029376.1)". The record is from RNAcentral. Lineage: Eukaryota; Metazoa; Chordata; Aves; Anseriformes; Anatidae.